UACAGAGGUCCCGAGCGUUGUUCGGAUUCAUUGGGCGUAAAGGGUGCGUAGGCGGCGGGGCAAGUCUGAUGUGAAAUCCCGGGGCUCAACCCCGGAACUGCAUUGGAUACUGCCUUGCUAGAGUACUGGAGAGGGAACUGGAAUUUACGGUGUAGCAGUGAAAUGCGUAGAGAUCGUAAGGAAGGCCAGUGGCGAAGGCGGGUUGCUGGGCUGAUACUGACGCUGAGGCGCGAAAGCCAGGGGAGCGAACGGG
Molecule: ribosomal RNA, 253 nt
Filed under: uncultured bacterium
Lineage: Bacteria
Description: partial 16S ribosomal RNA
Rfam family: Bacterial small subunit ribosomal RNA
Source: RNAcentral